UUAAGCUGCUUCAGAUGAUUAAGGAGAUAAUCAACGAAUGGGAACAUUUCAAAGAAAGAAGACUUCAGACUGAAAAGGAUAAGGGAGAAGGAGAUGAUGACGAUCUUAUAGCAAAACUGCCACCGGCAUCUUCAAAUAAAGAAAAGACACCUCAACAGGAGUUAACAGUGAACGCACUUCUAAAGGAAUGUGAAGAACUAAAGGCUGAAAAAGACAAGUGGAAACAAAAGGUAGUAAAACUCAGAGCCUACAAGAUAAUGCAUAUGGCAGAAGAGUCUGAAAUGGAAAAGUAUAAAUUGAAGUUUGAAGCAACUGCAAAGGAUGUCGCAGACAAAGUCAAACUACUUGACUUAUAUUUACAGACACAAAGCAUCUCAAGAAAUCCUGGAGCGUUAACAUGUACUCGUAAUGCUACAAUAGGAAGUCAUUUGGAACUCAGAACUCCUCUUUCGCAAACUACUCAAGAUGAUAUCACAAAGUGUAUUAGAAAUAUACAAGAAGAAUUGUAAUGCUGGAACUUAUUGGAAAGGAAAUGAACUUUAUAAGUCAAAUGGAGAAUCAGAGAAGACAUAUUUAACUCAGUAAUUAGCCUCUAAACUUAAAACAUAAUUACUGUUGUGCCAGGUUCAUGAGCUUAGUGGGGCGUGAAAGCUCACUAAAUAGUAUAACUUUGUCAAAUGAUGUGAGUAAAUAAAUUUACCAUUCAAAUGUU
Long non-coding RNA from Eptesicus fuscus (big brown bat), 712 nucleotides. RefSeq lists it as uncharacterized. The transcript has 3 exons. NCBI's taxonomy places the organism in Eukaryota, Metazoa, Chordata, Mammalia, Chiroptera, Vespertilionidae. The record is from RefSeq and is a predicted model, not a curated record.